RNAcentral lists this long non-coding RNA (4015 nucleotides) under Fukomys damarensis (Damara mole-rat). RNAcentral's name for it is "lncRNA (ENSFDAG00000031763.1)". The record is from RNAcentral. Lineage: Eukaryota; Metazoa; Chordata; Mammalia; Rodentia; Bathyergidae.
GCCCCUGGUGGCUCGGAGGACUAGCAGAGGGCGCUGUCGGCUUGUCCCCGGCCAGCACCAGUGCCUAACGCCAGCAAAGUACACGUGGCAUGGGCGGGGAAGGUGGCUCCUCGGCGUCCGUCCCACAGCAUCCAAAGAGCACAAGUGACCUAAGCGGUUCGGAAAGUACAAACGCUAGAAACAGCCAAAGGAUAGAAAUUGUUCACUCAGCAGAUCAACAAGCCCCCACGAGGAAAGUGGCCAUUAGACAGCUCUCCUUCUCCAGCGGCCUCCGCCCGGGAACCACUGCCCACCGGCUCGGAGUCAGGCUAACUGGCAGGAAGAUGGACCUGAAGCGGGCUCAGUCUCAACUCCGUCUGCCCUGUGACCUCAGCCUGUCUGCACUUCACAACGAGUUCCAGGCCAGUUCUGUCCUGUGCGCCCCAAUUCUGACCCUUUGUUCAAGCUGUUCCCUUCCAAAUGCCCAUUUCCCAACGAGGCAUUACCCCAGCCCCAAACCAUGCUCCAGGCUUGUCCACUCCAGCCCUGCAGUCGUCACAGAAUGUGUGCAGCGUGUAAUCCUGCAUAUUGCUGUAACCACACACACAUACACACACACACACACACACACGUAGGUAGGAACCUAUGUACAGAUUUGUCUCUGUCAUACCUCGUCUCUGCUCUUGAACAACCCCUUACCCACCUGGAAACAUCUGUUAAUUUGUUGGCCAUUGCUUUUUAGUCUUUUGAUCUGACCUUUUUUCAGCCAGCCUCACUUGUUUUUCAGGCUCCUUUGCUUUAUUUUCAAACUCAAAUACGUCCAUCUCAAGCCACCCCGACAGUGAGUGUGUGCACCUAUCGCUGGCCCAGAAGCUCAGCCAGGUCACCUUCUGGGGUCUGCCCUGGCCAGCUGAGGGUGCCUGGCUCUGCUCCCCACUGAGUGCUGCUGUGUACUGCUCUCCAGAGUGCCGUGUUUCGGAGCAUCCCUAAGGUCCCCAUGCCUCCCCAUCCUGGGCAUGCAUCUGACAAGAUCAGAGCUCACUUUCAGUCCCCAUGGCCAUCCUUUCAGACAAGGGGCACGUGCCAGUUAUGUGGUUUUUGUACUUCUUUGAAUUAAAAAUGCAAGCACGAGGAUUCUGGCCACAUCCCCAUCUGCCAGUGCCCUUUAACAGGCGGACUCUGGAUUGCUCCCCAGUGGUUUGUUCUUCUAGAGUGGGCAGACAGAUUAAUGGGUCUCCUAGCUCAAGGAUGUUCAGCCUCGUAGGAAGGAGGGUAAUGGGGCUGCUUUUCUUCUCUGACACCUUGCAGUAGGACAAGAGUGGGUGGGGAGGUAGCUCGCCUUAUGGUCCUCAGCCAGCCUGACCAAGCCCUGUGUUCAGUUCUACACAGAAAAUAAAUAAGCCAGCGAACAACAGCAGGGUAGGGAUGGACAUGUACUGAGCAGGACAAUAGCUUUGAGACCUUGGACAGGCAGUUUUUAAGGAAAACCAUUGAAUAUGUUGGAAGCAUGACCUGAACUGAAGGCGCAGGUCUGAGCAGCCUGGCUCUGUUCUAGUCCUGCAUGGAGACAGGAUGCAUCUGCAGUUGAAUCAAGUGAAUCAAGCAGCCUCUUUUGGGGGCCUUUCAGAUGCAGUGGGAAGGAGACAGGUAGAGUGGGGCCCCACCCUUCCUGCAGUGCAGCUUUCUAGGUUUUGGGGCACAGGCUUAUCAUGGGUCCUGGGUCCUGCUGUUCCUUCCUGCCUGCCUGUUAAUAUGCAUACUUCACAGAACCUGUGCACACACGCAUGGGUUCUGCCCCUUCAUACCAGGCGUGGAAGUGGUAACCAAUGCAAGGCAAACCCAUUUUGUGUUUAUAGUUAUUGCCAAGGAGCAGCUGCUUCUUAUACUUUCAAGAGGUACAGUCAGUGUCUGCUGCUCUAUCCCACGCCCCAGAAUGACAGGAGAGCCGUGCUGCUGCGUGUCUUGUGCUGUAGACACAUUCUUUCCAAUAUGCAACAUGCCCUCACUCUGCAAAAGUUUCUUAGAGUGUCGCCUGAAAAGAGGAGAAAAUGUGGCCCUUUCUGAAUUUGGGGAGUUCAGAUUAUAAAAUUUGGACUUCUUCAAAAACACUUCAACUUCACUCCUCACCUCCAUUUGACCAAGGACAGAAAAAUAUCCAGAGAUGUAGCCUCAGGAAGGUACGGAGGCCCCAGUGUUAUGGGGACAGUGUUGGACUUGCUUUUCCAUUAUGACAUGCUCCGCAUUCAUGUGCUCCUCCCUUUGGAGGCUAGGGGGAGACAUCGGUCUUUACAGCACAGAAAAUCACCGAAGAGAUGAACAGACCAGCACGAUCUGCCAUGCCUCCCACACACCUGUGGCUGUCACUUGGGCACAGCACUGUGGAGGUCGGGGCUGGCAUCACAGUCCAUGGCCAGGCCAGGAGGUUGCCCAGGACUGGGUAGGCCUCACUGCUGGAUGGCUCUGCUGGUUGCUGUGACUUCCGGGGCUGCCUUGGACUGCUCCCUGACUGCUCCCUGCCUGCUCUCCACUGCUGCAAACACUGCGUGCAGGAUGUAGUUUCUACUCGCCAACUAUCAACACCCUGACCAGCAUUGUACAAUUCCAGCUGCUGUCUUGUCAGAAGUCUCAGGAGGGCUGGCUCUGUGUGCGCUGUGCUCUACAUGCUGUGGGUUUCGAAAAAGGCACAAUGCCAUGUUCACUGCCGGAGUCAUAGAUGAGCUUUGCACCCUGAAAAUCCUCUCUGCUCCUCCAAGAGACCUGAUAACCACUAGUCCUUUCCCUGUCUCCACAGCUUUGCCUUUUGCAUGUGCUGACAGGUGGAAUCCUACAGCAGCCCGCUUUCCACAUUGAUCGCCCUCUUCCGUACCACUAUGCCCAAAGGCUGUUCGUGUCCCUUAACACUUUCACACCUCAUUUCUUUUUAGUGACACAUUCUCAUCAUUAAGUAUGUAGUUUGGGCUCCUUUAGCCCAUUGAUAGAAUGAGUUCCAUUAGUUGACUUUUGAAUGUUGACCCAAACUUGCCUACCUGGGCUAAAUCCCACUUGGUCACUGUGCAUUCUUUUCAAGCCGUUGGAGUUGAUUUGCUGAGGUAUUUUUGAAGCCUUUUGCAUCUCUAUUUCUGAACAUAAAGAGAUCAGUCUUCAGUUUUCUUUUCUUGCAGUGUCCUAUUGCUCUUGGUGUAGGAGAAAUGCCAGCCUCGUUAGAUGCAUAGAAAGUAUUCUCUGUUUCUAUCUUCUGCACAAGAUUGUGAGGAAUUGGUAUAAUCUGUUUCUUAGAGGUCUGAUAGAAUUCACCAUUGUACCCAGCUUGGCUGGGUGCUUUCUAUUUGGGAAAGUUAUUAACUGAUUCAACUUCUUUAAUAGAGAUACAGGCCAAUUCAAAUGGUUUUGUCCUUGUGUUUUAGUUUUGGCAGAUUGUGUCUUUCAAGGAAUUGGCCCAUUUCAUCUUUCUCCAUCUUAAUUUAUGUUUAGUCUGUAAGUUGUUUAGAUCUGUGGGCCUGGAGUUGCUCAUAGAAUCCCAUUAUUCAUGGAACCUAUAGAGAUGGCCUCUCUUUCAUUCCGAUUCUAGUAAUUUCUUUCUUCUCCAUUGUUUUCCUUGGUCAGCCUGGCCAGAGGCUUAUUAAUUUUACUAGUGUUUUCAUAGAACCAGCCUUUUUUUUUUUUUUUUUGGUACUGGGGAUUGAANNNNNNNNNNNNNNNNNNNNNNNNNNNNNNNNNNNNNNNNNNNNNNNNNNNNNNNNNNNUUGUUUUGGUUGGGGAUUGAACUCGGGUCUUUGCGCUUGCAAGGCAGGCCACCAAACUGCUGAACUAAAUCCCCAGCCCUUAGAACCAGCUUUUGUUUGUUGAUUUUCUCUACCAGUUUUCCAUAUUUGAUUUUAUUGAUUUCUGGUCUAAUAUCUAUUAUUUCUUCUCUUAUGCUUUAGAUUUAGUUUGCUCUUUUUAGAGUUCUUAACCAUAAUUAUUGACUUUAGAUCUUUCUUCCUUUCUACUAUAUGCAUUAAAAGAUAUAAAUUUCACAUGAAGUUUUUGCUACAUU